UGACUGGCAGAGGGUGGGAUGUAGCACGUCGUGUGACUGGCAGAGGGUGGGAUGUAGCACGUCGUGUGGCUGACAGAGGGUAGGUAGGAUGUAGUAGGAUGUAGCAUACCGUGUGGCUAGCAGAGGGUAGGUAUGCGUAGGGCUAAACCAGGCUUCCUUCAUCCGGGGUAGGCUGUCAUACUAGCAGAGGGUAGGUAGGAUGUAGUAGGAUGUAGCAUACCGUGUGGCUAGCAGAGGGUAGGUAGGAUGUAGUAGGAUGUAGCAUACCGUGUGGCUAGCAGAGGGUAGGUAGGAUGUAGUAGGAUGUAGCAUACUGUGUGGCUAGCAGAGGGUAGGUAGGAUGUAGUAGGAUGUAGCAUACCGUGUGGCUA
Long non-coding RNA from Brienomyrus brachyistius, 371 nucleotides. RefSeq lists it as uncharacterized. The record is from RefSeq and is a predicted model, not a curated record. Lineage: Eukaryota; Metazoa; Chordata; Actinopteri; Osteoglossiformes; Mormyridae. The transcript has 3 exons.